This 4042-nucleotide long non-coding RNA is filed under the name Phoenix dactylifera (date palm). Its description in RNAcentral is "long non-coding RNA (PDAC_LNC006849)". The record is from RNAcentral. Lineage: Eukaryota; Viridiplantae; Streptophyta; Magnoliopsida; Arecales; Arecaceae.
GGACUAAAUAUUGUAUGAUGUUAGCAAUUGGCCUGUUCUAACUAUAUGACAUAAUAGCAAUAUGAAAACCACAAGGAGGAAUAACAUCUAACACGACAUCCAAGAAGGCAUCAUGUAAGGAUAAAGAAGCUGAGGUUUGAGAACCAACGUGGACAGCAAAAUUCACAUAAUUUUCAAUAAACAAAUUGUGUCCCUUGACUCAAAUGAGCAGUGUUAUCUUCUGAGUUCAUGCACAAAAAUGUCUGUUUGUGGAGGAUUUUCCAUCCAAUGUGCAUUGCAAGGAUAUCUUUUAUCUUCCCAUGACUAACAUAAGGGCUAGGCAUCACUUGUGUUGGGUGUGCAUCACUUUUCUUAGGUGUGCUACUAGAAGCAUAUAAGAUGACUACACAAAGAAAAGGUGGAUGGCAGAUGUAGAGCCACAUCAAAGUUUCUAAAAGAUGUCAUUGCUUCUCGCAAAUCAGAUAGACUAGAUUGGAUUUCUUCAUGGAAAAUCAUCAAAGAAUAUUUAUGGUGGGAAAGAGAUACCAAUGCAUGAGGAUCCAAAAACCCGUUAAACCAAUCCUUUUCUGUUCACUCUUACUCUUCUUUAUCUUAGCAUGUCUCUCCAUUCAACAUCGUCAAGCUUCAUAAUCUCAACCUGAAAAUGUUCUGUCAUAUUGAUACUUUAAACUUAAGCUAAGCAGAUCCCAUCUAGUGCCCCCCUNNNNNNNNNNNNNNNNNNNNNNNNNNNNNNNNNNNNNNNNNNNNNNGAUCCCAGGAAUCAUGUAUCCCUUAACUCCCUUAUUAGUCUAGUGCUGUCCAUGGACCUAGGUCCGACACAAGUUUGAUAGAGUAAGACAGGAUCUCAAAAAUUGGACUAAAUUUUUUAUAGGGUCCAUGAUGGAGAUAAAAGACCACCAACAUACUAAAUGCUUAGGCAUUCAAAGAGCCAAGCUCACAGAAGGCCUGAAAUAUUAAAAAGUAGCCAAAUUAACAAAGUUCAAGAAGGCUUGUAAUAUGGUGUAACUUGGUAUGGCUUGUAAUAUGGUGUAACAUUAUCCUGACAUCAGCUAGUAUUUCACUCAUAAGUUUUUUGGCAAAUUAUGUUUAGAAUUGUCUCUUAGAAUGCACUAAAGAAUUUAGUCAAUUGCUAAAUGCUUCAAUUAAAAGCUUGUAGAUCUAUGAAUUGAGAGAGAAAAAGUAGGAUUGUCUUUUUUUCCUUCUUUUCCCUUUAGUGAUUAACCUUGCACCAUAGUAAUUGUAUUCUGCUCCUGCUUUUUUAGAAAACUUAGACAUGUUAUAAUCCUUCCAAAUUAUGGAAAAGCAUAGAUCAAAAGGGUUGACAAUGGUGUUCUUAAUAGACCAUUAUCUCUCAUAAAUUCCUGAUCUGAAAUUUUGAAUUUAUGUUCUGGUUAUCUUUGGCAAUUCAUAGAAAAUCCCAUGUAAUUAUCUUCCUAACCUUGGUCAUGACCUCGACCAAUGACCUUAUCCUUUCUCCUUCCCUUAUUUGACAAAACUAAUCAAACUCAGGUCUAAUCUUCAAGUAAAUCAGAUUGCCAUAUUUAUUUAACAAUAAUUGACAGCAAAGCAUGCCUAACUCAUAUCAUGAAUGUUUGUUAUGAAAAGCCAUUAUGAAGAAGUGCUGCAAGAACAUCACCUCUUGUAAUCCCCAAUUUCAGACUAUCUCCCAAAAAAAAACCCUUCCAGGUCACGAUUCCUUUUUGGCAAGCCAUUAAUUCUUUUAAUUUUUUAAAUCUGAAGUUCUAAAUAAAAGAAAUCAUGGGAGACCCAGUGUAAUUAUGACAUUCUUCUUCUUGAUACCGUACUCAAUUAGAACUAUACACCUCUCCUUCCUUUAUCUUUCUCAAUCUGAUACAAAAAGUUAUUCGCCCUCCUUUUCCUUCCUAGAAGUCAUAUUCAGCCGAAAGAAUCAUGAUCGAAACCGUUCAAAUUGCAGCAAAGUAACAUAUCCCAUCACCCAAAACGAGUUACAGUUCCAAACAAACACCUCAACAUAAUCCGUACACCCUAUUCCCAAAAGAAAAAGAAAACAAAAAAGGGAUCUUUUUCACUUCAUCAGUAAACUGCGGUACAUCUAUCUGGUUGACCAAUAUUUCAACUUCGAAUUCCAGACUCAGCAUACGAAAUUAUUCAAUUUUGGAUAUCAAGAACGGCGUACAAAGAUGUAAAAGAGACAUCAAACUCGGAAUAAAACUAAAUCGAAUUUCACAAGGAUUACAGAGGGAUUGAGGGGAUAAAAUUUUGGGGAACGAGGACAAUAAUUAAAUAUAAGAAUAGGAAUGGGGACAAAGCGUACCUGCUGGAUGAUGCGGCGCUUGUUGUGGCCGGCGGCGAGGUCAUCAAGGUUGACGAUACGCUUGAUGUUGGCCUGCAUGUCGCGGACCAUCUUGAACUGGACAUCAGCCUGCAGCAGCGCCCGCGAGAUCUCGUUCAGGCACUCGCUCAGCACCUUCUCAUCGAUGAUCGUCGCGUUGCUCAUAUGCUGCAACGCCCGGGAGAUGCUCCCGCCCAGCUGCGCGAGAACCAUCUUUGCCCACCUCUGGAGCUCGGAUUUGGGUUUUUUCUUUUCCGAUCGGAGUUUCGAAGGAGGAUGCCUGAGGGGAGGCGGAGGAACGUGGGAAGCAGGAAGGGUGGGGGGCUUCGGAGCGCUGCUCGCUUACACGCAAAUAAUUGUCACGUGCGAUGCGCGUGAUUAUUAUGAUUAGAGUGUACCUCUCUUAUUUAUUGCCGACUUGCAGCUGUAGUCCGUUUUUGGUCCCUGGCGAACUCUAAAUUACAUUAAUGCAGCUUGCCCGCACUUUUAUCAAACAUAAAUUACUAAAUGCUGCGCAAACAAUGAGAUAUUAUUAUAUUUUACAAAUUUAGAUGAAUAACGUAUGAUGGGUGUUAUAUACGAGUCAUGAUGGUGUAGAUUUUCUUUUUGCCUUGCAUGUAUUUAUGUCUAUUUUGGUGGAAGGUAGGAGGAAAAGAAAGAUGAGGUUAAAAAUAUAAUUAAAGAUAGAGUAAAAUCAACAAUAUAAUAAUAUAUUAUUAAUAUAAUUUUAUAUAUAUAUAUAUAUAUGUAUGUAUGUAUGUAUGUAUAUUACUCUUUAUAUUAGUGUUAACUAUCCUCGUUAUAUUAGUUUGCAUUUGAUUUUUAAACUAUAAGAACCAUAUAAGAAAAUUUUUGAAACUUGAAGGACCAAAAAUACAAUUUAUAGUACAUGGAUGAUGAUGUGACAUACCGGUGAUGAUGUGGCACUCAGUAAUCAAACACUUUUAGAUAAAAAAUUUCACCGUAUGUGCCACAUCAUCAUUCAUAUGCCAUAUCAUUAUCCAUAUGCCACAUCAUCAAUCGGCCGAAUAAUCAUCUAUCUAACUAGUUUCUGCCAUAUAAUCAGUUACGUAAUCACCUAUUAAUGCCAAUAGGGACUUCUAAUAAGGGAAAGUAGCCAGAAUCCAAGGAAGGACAAUAAUAAAAUAGUUGAGAAAAAAUACAGACCAAAUUUGAACUUUUAAAAGUUUAAGAAUUUAUUAAAACCUAUAAAUUUGGAGGACCAAAAGUAUAAUCAAGCCUAAAUGUCAUAAAAAAUGGCUGGAACCUUGAUCUUCUAGUUAUAAGCUACCCAAGUACCACAAUCCACCAAGCUAAGUUGAGUGAGGCAGCUCCACCCACACGACCCAACUUGGAAAUGAACCAUCAGAAGCCAGAUUCAAGAUCAUAUUCUGUAGCAAAAGCAUCACAUCUACCUACUCUCUUCACUGCACCACUAUUUGCUUCUAUGUAAANNNNNNNNNNNNNNNNNNNNNNNNNNNNNNNNNNNNNNNNNNNNNNNNNNNNNNNNAACCUCAGCUCCUUGGUUCCUUUGACAGUCUUUACUCCAAUUAUUACAUGACUAAUGGCCAGGGCCGGCCCAACCCUUAGGCAACUGAGGCGGUCGCCUAAGGCCCCGGCCCAAAGAAGGCCCACCGCAGGAAAUGCCUCAAAGAUAAAAUGGAAAAAAAAGGCCCCCUGUGAAUUCGCCUUAGGCCGGCCCACUGUAGGAAAGGCCUCAAACACAAA